AGGCUUCCUCUCCUGCAGAGGCGCCGGCGGCUCGUCCUCCCUGUCCACAGCCUGGUGUGCCUCGCCGCCUUCGGCCUCGCUCUGCCUCUCGCCAUCAGCCUCUUCCCACAGAUGUCCCAGAUCAGCGUCAAUCAGCUAGAGCCAGAGAUCGCCAUGGCAACAGAUUGUAAGAUUGUGACAUACAAUAAAGGCCUGUGAGUGAUCUGCUCUGCCAAACAUCUAAAUAUAGGAGUAAAGUAAGAAGAUCGAAUUAUGCUAAAAACUUGGCUGCGUUAUCCUGUGAAAAGUAAGCAUAUGUUUACAGAAAGAAUACACGUUGUUUUUGCCAAGACAAUAUAUAAUAAAUAACACAUAUCGACACCUUUUAGGAAUUACUAUCCCUGUUAAAACAUGCACACCAACCAACAAAAUAACAUCAUGUGACUGAGCCACAAAACAUAUUUAUGGAGUAACUCGAAUAGCAACUAUCAAAAACUAUUUUCUAUUAGCUUGCCUGGUUUCUUCUUACCUGUAAAAGACAAUACAUUUUGAGGUUAACUUAAAAAAAACGUAGUAGAAUUAUUAGUGGAUUAGAUAGUGAUGGACCAAAUACUCAAAGUAAAGUAGUGAAAAACGUUCCUGCAUGAUGAGAAUCUGAAUCAUCAUAUUGUCAAGUCUCUCUGAAGUACAGGAGUAAAGUACCUCCAAAUUGUAAAUCAUUUGAGUCUUGAGUCAUUUGACUCCAGUCCGAGCCGACCGUGUGUUCUGGAUUGUAAAUGUAAAUACUGUAAAUGAAAUCAGGAAAAAUGACUGAAAUGCAUUUCCUUUGAAAUAGUUUUUUGUUCUUGUUUAUAAUGAAACGACCGACCUUCUCUUGCUUUUUAUAUAAAGCUAACGCCAGUCUUACGACCUGGUGUCAGAGGUUGCAUGUCUAGAGGGACAAAUCAAAAAAUAUGGCACAAGAAAAAAGCUAAUUGUAAAGUCCAAAAUAUGAACUUCAUUUUGUUUUUUUCUGAUUUCUUUACCUGGGCAAUCAUUUUGCAACCCAGCACAUUCUUCUCGCGACCCCUUGUAGGGGUGCUGACCCCUAUGUUGCGAAACUCCUAUUUAAUGGUUUCAGCCAACUGGAAAGGUUGCUCUGCCUGGUUUUGGUAUAGUGCGUCUAUCUAAAAACCUUUCUUGUAAACUCGAACUGUGAACUGCAAUACGUUUUAAAACAAAUGUAUAUCUCAUGGAAAUCAUCCAAUGACAAUGUGAUUUUUGUUCACCACAAAAGCCUGUAUUGAAAACAUUGUAAUGUAGUUAAAUGAUGAAUGUAGUUUUUGUAAUAAAACAAGUUAAUACUUUA
Notothenia coriiceps (black rockcod) is the source of this 1327-nucleotide long non-coding RNA. RefSeq lists it as uncharacterized. The record is from RefSeq and is a predicted model, not a curated record. Lineage: Eukaryota; Metazoa; Chordata; Actinopteri; Perciformes; Nototheniidae. The transcript has 2 exons.